This 661-nucleotide long non-coding RNA is filed under the name Cavia porcellus (domestic guinea pig). RNAcentral describes it as "lncRNA (ENSCPOG00000032698.1)". The record is from RNAcentral. Lineage: Eukaryota; Metazoa; Chordata; Mammalia; Rodentia; Caviidae.
GAGUCACAUUUGUUUUGUUUUGUAUUUGCAGUGCUGGGUGUUAAGAGUUCUCUGGCACAAUAGAGAAGCAGAGGGAAAGAGAAAAUGAAAGUGGCCUUUUUAUAUGAGGACCUGGAGAGGAACCCACAACCUGCAGGGUUUGGCUUUCUACUCCCACUGGAUCCAGAAGAGCAGAAGGCUUCCUUCUGCCCCAUGUCUACUGCAGUGCCAGGCGUCACGGGAGCUGUGUUGUGGAUUUACCCUCUGGCAUGGCAUCAGUGAGCACUUGUUCAUCCUGCAGUAAAUAUUACUGAGCGCUCCAUUUAUUCUAGGCUUUGUGCUGAGACCUGGACUUUCUCACAACACUGCUGCCCCUGCUCCCGGGUAUGUUUCUCAGCCCUGUGAGCAGACACGGAGAAAAGGGCACAAGCAUGUGGAAUCUGGUGUAUAAAACACAGAUACAAAUUUCCUCUGCUUUCUAAAACAGAUUCUAAAAUAAAAGAGCCAUGUAAGCAGAGCUAGGUAUAGUGGUGCACACCUGUAAUCCCAGCACUCAGAAGGUUGAGGCAGGAUCACUGUGAGUUCAAGGCCAGUUGGGGUUACAUAAUUAAUUCAAGGCCAGCCUGGACUACAAAGUGAGAGCCUGACUCAAAAUAAAUACAUAAGGGCCGGAGGUUUAGCU